GAUGAAGAACGCAGCGAAAUGCGAUAAGUAAUGUGAAUUGCAGAAUUCCGUGAAUCAUCGAAUCUUUGAACGCACAUUGCGCCCCUUGGUAUUCCGAGGGGCAUGCCUGUUCGAGCGUCAUUAUAACCCCUCAAGCUCAGCUUGGUGUUGGGGCCUGCCGCACGGGCAGCCCUUAAAAUCAGUGGCGGUGCCAUCUGGCUCUAAGCGUAGUAAUUCUUCUCGCUAUAGAGUCCCGGUGGAUGCUUGCCAUUAACCCCCAAUUUUCUAUGGUUGACCUCGGAUCAGGUAGGGAUACCCGCUGAACUUAAGCAUAUCAAUAAGCGGAGGA
This 328-nucleotide unclassified non-coding RNA is filed under the name soil metagenome. RNAcentral describes it as "partial contains 5.8S ribosomal RNA, internal transcribed spacer 2, and large subunit ribosomal RNA". The stretch from base 1 to 120 matches the Rfam family "5.8S ribosomal RNA", at positions 35 to 154 of the family's 154-position model. The record is from RNAcentral.